Molecule: ribosomal RNA, 492 nt
Filed under: uncultured bacterium
Lineage: Bacteria
Description: partial 16S ribosomal RNA
Rfam family: Bacterial small subunit ribosomal RNA
Source: RNAcentral
AGUGAACGCUGGCGGUAGGCCUAACACAUGCAAGUCGAACGGCAGCACAGUAAGAGCUUGCUCUUACGGGUGUCGAGUGGCGGACGGGUGAGGAAUACAUCGGAAUCUACUUUUUCGUAGGGGAUAACGUAGGGAAACUUACGCUAAUACCGCAUACGACCUACGGGUGAAAGCAGGGGAUCUUCGGACCUUGCGCGAUUGAAUGAGCCGAUGUCGGAUUAGCUAGUUGGCGGGGUAAAGGCCCACCAAGGCGACGAUCCGUAGCUGGUCUGAGAGGAUGAUCAGCCAGACUGGAACUGAGACACGGUACAGACUCCUACGGGAGGCAGCAGUGGGGAAUAUUGGACAAUGGGCGCAAGCCUGAUCCAGCCAUACCGCGUGGGUGAAGAAGGCCUUAGGGUUGUAAAGCCCUUUUGUUGGGAAAGAAAAGAAGCAGGUUAAUACCCCGCUGUUCUGACGGUACCCAAAGAAUAAGCACCGGCUAACUUCGUG